This 459-nucleotide ribosomal RNA is filed under the name uncultured bacterium. Its description in RNAcentral is "partial 16S ribosomal RNA". It matches the Rfam family "Bacterial small subunit ribosomal RNA", at positions 338 to 795 of the family's 1533-position model. The record is from RNAcentral.
CCUACGGGAUGCAGCAGUGAGGAAUAUUGGUCAAUGGACGAGAGUCUGAACCAGCCAAGUAGCGUGAAGGAUGACUGCCCUAUGGGUUGUAAACUUCUUUUAUAUGGGAAUAAAAUGUUCCACGUGUGGGAUUUUGUAUGUACCAUAUGAAUAAGGAUCGGCUAACUCCGUGCCAGAAGCCGCGGUAAUACGGAGGAUCCGAGCGUUAUCCGGAUUUAUUGGGUUUAAAGGGAGCGUAGGUGGAUUGUUAAGUCAGUUGUGAAAGUUUGCGGCCCAACCGUAAAAUUGCAGUUGAAACUGGCGGUCUUGAGUACAGUAGAGGUGGGCGGAAUUCGGGGUGUGGCGGUGAAAUGCUUAGAUAUCACGAAGAACUCCGAUUGCGAAGGCAGCUCACUGAACUGCAACUGACACUGGGGCUCGAGAGUGUGGGUAUCAAACAGGAUUAGAUACCCGGGUGUC